RNAcentral lists this unclassified non-coding RNA (8361 nucleotides) under Ooceraea biroi (clonal raider ant). Its description in RNAcentral is "inactive histone-lysine N-methyltransferase 2E, transcript variant X1". The record is from RNAcentral. Lineage: Eukaryota; Metazoa; Arthropoda; Insecta; Hymenoptera; Formicidae.
AGAAGAAUGGCUGCCAUCUCUAGUUUUCGAUUGAUGUUUUUCGUGGAGAUUGCGAAUUCUCUUGUUUAUCGCGGUAUUUAAUAACGUGAAACCAUAUUGCGCGACUCAGUGGCAUCGACUGCGAUGUAAGCGGUGUUCGUGCGCACGUUAUUUCGGCUGCCUUAGUGUCAUUUUCGUCAAAAAAUGUCUGUGUUUACAUCAGAGUUACGAACGAACUUCUGUAUUCCUGUCACAUUAAGCUUAUGGUCUACAGUCCUCAAAUAGCUGAAUCGAGGACUAGACUUGAGGCGAAGGUCGGGCGAAGAUAGCCGGUCGCGCUAGGACUGAUCGAGUUUCUAACUCGUUCUCGAGUUUUCACUUAGUGUGCUCCCGCAAGGCCACCAAAACGUCGACUCCGUCAGUAAUCAAGUUAUCGGGGGGUGGUACAGGUGACAGUGGGGAACAACUGUCCCCAGGGCCUGGCCCACCUCCCCCAGUAUCCUCUCCAUCGGGCAAUAGUAACGAUUGUAAUAGUAAGGAAAACAAGACGAGCGAUGCCGAUGCGAUGCAAAUCGCUGUUUCCGCGGCGACCGAAACUGCGAAAUCUGUACCUGAAAAAAUCGAACAAGAACGCGAGCAAGGCACUGAGGCCGCCGUGAGCUUUGUCCUGCAACUGGACGUGGAGGCAACUACCGCGGCGCCGGUAGCGGAAAAGGAAGAGAAGACCAGCAUCGGCAACGAGAAGCAACGACCAGUGCCGACGUUACUGUUCGCACGGGAUAUAUGGACUCCCGAGUCUGUGACGGUCGCUGCUACCGAUUCCGAUACAGCUACAAGUGGAAAUACCAUGGUGAUCACUAACAGUGGCGAUAUCAAUGCUGCGGUGCCCAUCACUGGCAGUAAACUGCAGUUGUCGCAGUGCAUGGAGCUGACGAGUAACUAUCGGCAGAUAGUUUCAACUGCAUCUGCUCUCCCGACAGUGAAAUCCAUGGUGACGUAUCCCGUCGCCAAGGGCACCAAGGAGCAGAUGCAGAAGAUGAUCGCUGGUUCGCAGACUAACACUACCCAAGUACUGACGACGCGCGUCAUUUCGCAGAAGUUACCGUCACCGUCUAGUAGCCAAGCGCAGCCUGUUCCAAUAACCGCUUUCAGUAUGUCGUCUCCGCAAACGUCUUUAUCAUCUUCUGGUAAUGGUGGUAUUACUUAUCCCUUGCAAACUACUAUAUGUACGCUACAGAGUGGUCAAUCGGCGAAGAAUCAGGAUUCAGCGAUUGGCGAACUCUUCCACGGUAAGCGACAGCAACAAGCAACGGCAACGAGUAACGUGCAAAGCACAUUACACAAGCUUCAACCGAUUCCCGUUCAGCAACACAUGAUCAAUACCGCUGCAACGGUAAAGACCAUUACUACGGCGCCGACAGUCUCGAAUCUUCAGAGAAUACAUGUGAAAGCGGCAUCGCCAAGCAUCGUCGCAGCUGGUCAAUCAGCGCAGACUGUAAAUCUGCAGAAAGUCAAAACUACCAUGACGAAUUUGAGCAGCAAUCAGCCUGUCGGAAUUGUGCAACGUAAUAAUUCUCUAUCCAAAAUACAAAGUGUACAGAAGUCGUUAACUGGUCAGAUUAAUCAAUUAUCAGUCAAUAAUCAGACGACUACAAACAAUGUGAAUAAUUCGCAAAAAAUUCAACAGAGUAAUCCGAUGAUGUUACAGAAAACGACGCAGUCUAUCCCAGCGACGCUUCAGUCUGUUUGCAGCCAGAAGGUACCGUCACUGAACAGUAAUCAUAAAUCGAAUCACAAAACGCAGCAACAAAAUUUGCAGAAGUUGCAAGGAGCUCAAAAGACAUUAGUGAUAACGAAGCAGCAACAGCAAUUGGCCGCACAACAAAUGAAUAAUAUCUCGAAAUCCAAUGGACCCGUUACCAAUGUACAAAAGACUCAAACGAUCGGACAACAACCUUCAACGAGCCAACAAAUGCAACCGUCACAUCAAAGACAAUCAGCGACAGCUGUAUUGCAAAAGUCUCAAACGUUGACAACGAUGCAAUCCGCUAAGCGGAUACAAUCUGCAACGAGUAAUGUUUGUAAGAGCAAUAGCGUACCAAACAUCUCCAACAAAAUAAUUCCGCAGAACUCAAAUGUGCUUACGAUCAACAAGCAACAGCAAAUAACAUCGCAACAGCAGCAGCAGCAGCAACAACAGUUGCAAUCUGCACAGCAACAACCAGUAAUACAAAAGUCGCAGAAUGUGAAUAAUUUGCAGGUUCAAAGAAGUCACAGUAUUACUAAUGUGCAUCAAAAAAAUAUUACAUCCAUGCCAAACAAUCAAAGGCUUCAAUCUGUGAUGAAUUCAAAGGUUCAGCAGCAGCAACAGCAACAAAUGAUGAUGAGAGUAGGCAUAUCAAAGGGUGGUUUAACGCAAGCUCCACAAAAUACGGUAGCUCUGGGGGUCCCGCAAAAAUUGGUAAACACUGUCAAGACUGCAAGCUCCAACUCACAGAGCGACACUGUUCAACAGUCUGUACAAAGAAACAGUAAUCCUGCUCAAGCUGUGAAGACCAUACAGCAACAACAGCAGCCACAGAAUGAGAUCGGUCAAUUGAACGCCCCGCAAAAGCAGCUUGGAUGCAUCAAGACUAUUCCGCCACAGAAACCUGUACAAAGAAAUCAUGUUCAGAAAGCCAGCGGCAUUAAAACCUCGAUGAACACGAAUACAACGUUAAUGAAAACUCAAAGUUCGGUCAUAGUGCCACAAGUAACACCACAGAAAACAAUCAUCAAGACUUUGCUACCACAGCAAACGCCAGCGGUAGCGACAGCAGCCGCAUCGUCCAGCAUAAUGGUUGCGCAUAAAACUUCACCAAUUAAAAUCCAGCAACAGCAGAUACAACAAAAGCAGCUGUUUAUGACGCCACAGUAUACGCAGCAGAUCAGGCAACAAACUGGCCAGAUAAAAACUCUAUUGCCGGUGACUCCAAUUGAACUUCGUAAAGAUCUUGUUGAGAACAAGAACGACGUUGAGCUUCAAAUGGCUAAAGAAGAGGAGCCAGGUGUUCCUAAAUCGCCAGUAAGGAGAAUGCCGCUUCCUUAUGAGUGCCUCCAAUUUGUUCUUCAAGACCAUAAUUAUGGAGCGCCACCACCGCGAACGCCAUCGCCUUCCUCACCACCGUCUCAUCCAAAGCAACAAACCAUUAAUGGAGCUGGCAGUUCCACAACUACUUUGCAGCAUCCUUAUAUUUUUGGUCCAGUUGUGAGCAAUACUAACGCGGAGGAUGACGCCGCCAGCGCAAUCAGUAGUGAAGCGGGACGAGAAGCGGAGCCAGAAGGCGAAGAAACUGAAACCGCACCUGAGGGUGAAGGCGACGAUGAGGACAGUGUUACUAGAUGCAUUUGUGAUUUUGAACAUGACGAUGGAUACAUGAUUUGUUGUGAUCGAUGCUUGGUAUGGCAGCACGUCGACUGCAUGGGCAUAGACCGUUCGAACAUUCCUGACGAGUAUCUUUGUGAGAGGUGUCGACCACGACGAGUCGAUCGACAGCGAGCCCGCGCUUUGCAAAUGCGUAAGCGCGAGGAGCUGCUCAACUCGGAUACGUCAUCUGAUACAUCGUCAACUAGUUCAGCAGACACGGACGUUGGUGUCAACAACAUUGCAACGCAAAAAAAGCGCUCGCUUUCGCAGCAACAAUCACAGGUCCCGAGACGCAACAAGUCCGACAUGGGAUCCGUUCAAACUGCGCAAGUUCGAAAAUUGAAUAACAAUAACAACGUUGCAAAACGACAAAGAAAGGACUCUCAUGCCAGACAAUCGAGUGCCGUUCGCAAGAAAGAGAAUGCCGCGCCAAAGCGAGGACCCGGAAAACGCAAAACCAAAAGGAGAAUGAGCGUUGAGGACAAGGAGGAGGACGUGCAAGAUGCCUGGAGCAGCAACAUGGCGCCUCUUCGACAGUGGAUCGAAAAAUACGAGGAAGCCGUAACAAAUCAUUACAGUCCUGAGUUGCGAGCCAGGAUAUCGAGCAUUAAAGUCAACGGAACCCACAGCGACCUUCGGCAAGCUAAUAUGAGUGUCAUCGCCACUGGUAAAUGUAGACUCAACGUGCAUAGUAAUAAUCUCAAAUUUUUAGUGGCAACGAUGUAUCUCUCACCGAACACCCCUGUCGUGGAAUUACGUGGCAAAUAUAUGCUCAGUACGCAACACCGACCACAACAUCCGCAAGGUAGCAGACAGCACGUUCAACGGCCGGGACCGUUCGUGUUUUUCUACCGUUUGCCGCGCGAUGGUACCGAGGUCUGCGUGGAUACGCGAACUUACGGCAACGACGCGAGAUUCGUACGGCGUAGUUGCAAGCCAAACGCCGAAGUGAAGCACUGCAUCGAGAAAGGCACGCUGCACCUGUACAUCGUGACAACGUGCGCGAUCGAGAAAAAUGCUGAGAUUACAAUCAAACACGAGCAGCACGAUCUGUUACUGUCGCCUAAUCUCAAUUCUCCCACGCUGCCCGUGGUCUGUGCGUGUAACAAUCCGCGAGAAUGCCAGAUCGCAGCGGCGAACCAGCUGAAUCGAAGAAGCAGCAAUGGUGCUCUCAUCGAAAACGCUGAUGGCAGGGAACGAAGACGGCGAGGUAGAAGAAAUACCACCUGCGAGGAGACAGAGUCUACGUCGCCGGUGGUUUCUACCAGCGUCACGCAAACUGUUACGACCGCGACACCGGUAUCUACAGUGACCACUGUGACACCGAAAAAGACAGUCACGACCACGAUUACCACUACGAUGGCCCGUCAGGUUCCCAAAGAGGAAGCCACCGCUGUGGUACAACCAAACGUACAGCCUCAGACAUCACUUAGUUUAAGUCAACCGACAGUGGUAACGCUAGAAACGAAGAAAGAUAAGAAGAAGAUGACGCGAGAAGAAAGGAAAAUGGAGGCGAUUAUGAAAGCUUUCGAGAGGUUGGAGAAGGCGGAGCAGAGGAAGCAAGAGGUCCAGGCGAGAAACGCACAGCGAAAAGAGUCCAGCGGCACACAUAGCGAUAACGAGGACAGUCACCCGACGACGACGGGACAGUCUAAGGGUGGUAAACAGACGAACAAUUCCGAGAGACCGUUACGACGAAAGAGAAGAAAAGGUCGUGCGAGGACGACGAGUUCGUCUCAGUCGCAAAGCAAUACUAACCGUAGAACGAGAUUGAACUCGGCUGACUCCGACGUGUCCUCCGGAGACGAGAGCAAUUCAGUGCAAUCGCCGCCAUUGUUAAAUCAAAAACGGCCAUCCAGCCGAGACGUUUCUUACUCGCAUUUGCAGGCAUCAGUCAAAAACGCAACAUCAAGCGACGGUACCAGCGACAACAUUGGAUCAUCAUCCGGUAAUCAGAGAAUUCCCACGGCAGCCGGUCUUUUAUUGGCUUUAGCGAAUUCAAACGCUCCUGGUCCUCCGAGUUCGCCGCCACUGUUACAGCCUACUCCCGUCAAAAGUCCCACUUGUGACAGUGGAGCCAGCAGCAGUUCGCAGAGUUCCACGCCAUCCACGCCGUUGUCGUCUACUUGUCUCCUGGUAGCCGCCGCGGUCGGUCCGCUAGCUCCUGGCUUUAAAUUCCCCAAGACGAAGAAGGUGUUGAUGAACGAGUGGCUAAAAGAGUCGCCCGAUCCGCCGCAAGCUGUACCUCAGGUGUCACCUGUGCCGGCGUUAUCGUCAACACCGAUCUUACCCAAUUCCAUGAAUUCAAUUUCGUUGUGCGGCAGAUCAGCAGAUUUUCCGUCUCUGUCGACAACAGAUCCGUCUGUAGAGUUUCUGUCGCAGAGUUACGCGGCCAAGAGUCUAGCGACCUUAGUGCAGGCUGCCAACUCGGUUGGUGGCAUAUGCGACUCACCACCGCAACAUAAACAGCAGCAGCAGCAUCAGGCGAUUGCUGUUUCCAGUAACAACAAUAACAACAACAACAACAGUGGUUGCAUCGCAGUGUCGACAGGUUCGGCGAAGAAGCGAUGGCUGCGUCAGGCAAUAUCGGAGGAAUGCGAGUCGCCUAACAGUCGACCGGAGAGCCCACCGUUGCUUAGUGAAAAAGUAGCACCACCCAAGAAGCGGAGAAUAGCUCGAGAGAGCCUGUCGUCAGAAAAUUAUACUCCACCAACAACGCCGACCAUGCUACUCUCGAGUGAGGCGGUACCCAACAGCAGAUCAUUGUGUCCUACCGAAGACGACUAUAUGGAAAACGCGCAGUCACCCGUUGUAGAACAAAAUGACGAGAAGCCUUACGAGUCGGAAUUUGCGAAGGAAGAAAUUAAUGUGGACGGGGAACGCAUGGAUUCCAACGAGUUAGUGGCUCGAGAGAAACUCUCAAUUAACAUUCCUCAAUCAGAUUUUUAUAUAAAGCGUAAGAAAAAGAGGGAACAUUUGGAUAACGUUAAAACAGAGGUAUCUUUUGUAGUGGAAACGGAGAAUGUCACAAUGAACGACGAAGUUUCUCCGAAGUGUGAAAAUAAACAGGAAGCUGAACUUAAUUUCAGCCCGUUACAGAUGGAUUCGAAAAUAUUUGCAAAAAUUCGGGAAGUUGUUGAAAGUAAAAUUGAUUUCGGAUUGAACGAUUCGGAUUUUUCUACGAACAAAGAGUCUUCCACGAAGAAGCAAGCUACCGAAGGUACGGUCGAGAUAAUUGAUCAGGACAAACCUAAUAUCGAGAUGGAAGAACUUAGCUCUCCUAGCGCCAUAAUGGAAUCUGACACGAUUCUGAAACAACGAGUGGCCGAGAUGCAGUUAGAAUUCGGUGGUGGCAUCAACGAGGUCGUGAAUGUCGCCAACAGUGAGGAUGAGAAAUCCGGCGAUAACAAAAAGGUGUCCGAAAUUGCUACGAGGUGUCGAGAGAUCGUCGAGAGAUCGGAUGAUAACAUAUCUAUUGACGAAUUCGACGUCGAGGCGCAGAUGAAAAAGAUCACGGGCGACGACGGUAACGAUUAUGAAGAACAGAUCGACACAAGUUUAGAAAAGGACAAGAGUAUAGACGGAAUAGAGGGUUUGAUGGAGAGCUCGAAAGAAGAUUCCGACUCUGAGGAUAAAGAUAUGGAUGACGAAAAGUAUUGCGAAUCUUCGUUCAAGUUGUUCAGUGUUAAUCACGAGAAGACACUGGUCAAAGAGUCGGAAUUGACUAAGCCGGAACAGAUCACUGUUGCGUUGGAAGAUAACGUGAAAGACACGAAUAAGAAUACGAGUGAUGAGCCUUUGAAAGAAAUAUCCAAGAUGGAAGAGUCGUUCAUUUUCGCGACGUUAUCAGAAGAGUCGAUUUUUGAAGCUGCAUCUUCGAACAUGGACGUGAAGCCCGUUGUAAAUUCUCCGAAAAUCUUUCAUUCGAUUGCACCGUUAAGUGAACGCAUUCGCAAGAAGCCCGAUCCUGCAGCUACGCCUAAAAUGCCAAAGAUGGAUUUUGAGGCAGCUAUUAUAGAAUCGACGAUAAAUAUGGACACGGCGGACGAAUCGAAAAACGGCGAGCAAAAGCUGAUAUUGUCGACCGCUUUACGCGAACUUUUGGAAGCGAAACUGGAUGACGUACCGUCUACGGCUACGGCCACGGUCGAAGUAAUGAAAAAUGACAUUGAUAAUGAAAUAAAUAUGCCGUCACAAGUAAUUAAACCAAUAUCAGACUCCUCUGAACGCAGCUUAGACUCGACUACGGUCCAAGACUCGACAAUGACUCGACAGGAAUCUCUGCCGAUUCCGGUGAAAGAGGAAGAGGUGCAACCGAAGGAGGUAAAACGGUUAAAAGAUCCAAGAACUGUCGUACCGAAUAAUAUGCCCGCACCGCCGACCGUUAAACCAGACGCUGUCCCUCCUGCCAAACGCAAGGUUAGAAAAUUGUCCAUUUCGGAAUAUCGCAAACGCAAACAACAAUCAUCGGUAUGCGCGGCAACCGAGCCCGAGUCAUUGAAUGAAGCUUCCACCGGAAAUAAAAGUGGAGCACGAGGUAGAUCGGACAGCGCCAGCAGCGGCACUUCUUCGCUCAGUUCCGACGAGGAGGGCUCCAAAAUGUCGCUGUCCCUCGAUUUACCGGGUCUUGCAACGUUAACGCCUUUCGCUAACGCCGUUGAGAACGACGAAAAGAAAGGUGAUAAUCACCACAUGGUGGAGAGGAAGGUGCAAUCGGUUGGUCAGCGGCACCAACUACAGUGGAACGACAACGAGAAAACCUUACCGAGAGAUUAAAACGGGAAUUUGGAUUGUUUCUCGGUGACGAAGAUGACGAGGAAAGAGUGCGUAAACAUGGUUUAACAGCUGAGGCGAUAAUGAAGGCGCAUAGAUCUCCACCUCACAGUUUGGUUGCUAGUACCCCCGCAGGAUAUCCUGGGUUGCCGCAGUUACCCCCUCAGCCGUAUAUACCGCCACCCGGUUCUGCGUCUAUUCAC